This 1338-nucleotide ribosomal RNA is filed under the name Enterococcus durans. RNAcentral's name for it is "bacterial SSU rRNA". It matches the Rfam family "Bacterial small subunit ribosomal RNA", at positions 74 to 1390 of the family's 1533-position model. Lineage: Bacteria; Bacillati; Bacillota; Bacilli; Lactobacillales; Enterococcaceae. The record is from RNAcentral.
CGGAGCUUGCUCCACCGGAAAAAGAAGAGUGGCGAACGGGUGAGUAACACGUGGGUAACCUGCCCAUCAGAAGGGGAUAACACUUGGAAACAGGUGCUAAUACCGUAUAACAAUCGAAACCGCAUGGUUUUGAUUUGAAAGGCGCUUUCGGGUGUCGCUGAUGGAUGGACCCGCGGUGCAUUAGCUAGUUGGUGAGGUAACGGCUCACCAAGGCUACGAUGCAUAGCCGACCUGAGAGGGUGAUCGGCCACAUUGGGACUGAGACACGGCCCAAACUCCUACGGGAGGCAGCAGUAGGGAAUCUUCGGCAAUGGACGAAAGUCUGACCGAGCAACGCCGCGUGAGUGAAGAAGGUUUUCGGAUCGUAAAACUCUGUUGUUAGAGAAGAACAAGGAUGAGAGUAACUGUUCAUCCCUUGACGGUAUCUAACCAGAAAGCCACGGCUAACUACGUGCCAGCAGCCGCGGUAAUACGUAGGUGGCAAGCGUUGUCCGGAUUUAUUGGGCGUAAAGCGAGCGCAGGCGGUUUCUUAAGUCUGAUGUGAAAGCCCCCGGCUCAACCGGGGAGGGUCAUUGGAAACUGGGAGACUUGAGUGCAGAAGAGGAGAGUGGAAUUCCAUGUGUAGCGGUGAAAUGCGUAGAUAUAUGGAGGAACACCAGUGGCGAAGGCGGCUCUCUGGUCUGUAACUGACGCUGAGGCUCGAAAGCGUGGGGAGCAAACAGGAUUAGAUACCCUGGUAGUCCACGCCGUAAACGAUGAGUGCUAAGUGUUGGAGGGUUUCCGCCCUUCAGUGCUGCAGCUAACGCAUUAAGCACUCCGCCUGGGGAGUACGACCGCAAGGUUGAAACUCAAAGGAAUUGACGGGGGGCCCGCACAAGCGGGUGGAGCAUGUGGUUUAAUUCGAAGCAACGCGAAGAACCUUACCAGGUCUUGACAUCCUUUGACCACUCUAGAGAUAGAGCUUCCCCUUCGGGGGCAAAGUGACAGGUGGUGCAUGGUUGUCGUCAGCUCGUGUCGUGAGAUGUUGGGUUAAGUCCCGCAACGAGCGCAACCCUUAUUGUUAGUUGCCAUCAUUCAGUUGGGCACUCUAGCAAGACUGCCGGUGACAAACCGGAGGAAGGUGGGGAUGACGUCAAAUCAUCAUGCCCCUUAUGACCUGGGCUACACACGUGCUACAAUGGGAAGUACAACGAGUCGCGAAGUCGCGAGGCUAAGCUAAUCUCUUAAAGCUUCUCUCAGUUCGGAUUGUAGGCUGCAACUCGCCUACAUGAAGCCGGAAUCGCUAGUAAUCGCGGAUCAGCACGCCGCGGUGAAUACGUUCCCGGGCCUUGUACACAC